RNAcentral lists this non-coding RNA (32 nucleotides) under Rattus norvegicus (Norway rat). Lineage: Eukaryota; Metazoa; Chordata; Mammalia; Rodentia; Muridae. The record is from RNAcentral.
ACAAACAAACAAACAGAAAAACGAAGACAAAC